This is a non-coding RNA of Pangasius djambal, 74 nucleotides long. NCBI's taxonomy places the organism in Eukaryota, Metazoa, Chordata, Actinopteri, Siluriformes, Pangasiidae. The record is from the annotation of a GenBank genome assembly.
GAAAUGGUGGCACAGUGGUUAAGGGGUUUGGGCUAUUGAUCCAAAGGUCAUGAGUUCAAAUCCCAGCAGCAGCA